UACGGAGGGUGCAAGCGUUAUCCGGAUUCACUGGGUUUAAAGGGUGCGUAGGUGGGUUGGUAAGUCAGUGGUGAAAUCUCCGAGCUUAACUUGGAAACUGCCAUUGAUACUAUCAGUCUUGAAUAUUGUGGAGGUCAGCGGAAUAUGUCAUGUAGCGGUGAAGUGCUUAGAUAUGACAUAGAACACCAAUUGCGAAGGCAGCUUACUACCCGAAUAUUGACACUGAGGCACGAAAGCGUGGGGAUCAAACAGG
This 253-nucleotide ribosomal RNA is filed under the name uncultured bacterium. RNAcentral's name for it is "partial 16S ribosomal RNA". It matches the Rfam family "Bacterial small subunit ribosomal RNA", at positions 524 to 776 of the family's 1533-position model. The record is from RNAcentral.